AAGGAUUCCCCUAGUAACUGCGAGUGAAGCGGGAAAAGCUCAAAUUUAAAAUCUGGCGGUCUUUGGCCGUCCGAGUUGUAAUCUAGAGAAGUGUUAUCCGCGCUGGACCGUGUACAAGUCUCCUGGAAUGGAGCGUCAUAGAGGGUGAGAAUCCCGUCUUUGACACGGACUACCAGUGCUUUGUGAUGCGCUCUCAAAGAGUCGAGUUGUUUGGGAAUGCAGCUCAAAAUGGGUGGUAAAUUCCAUCUAAAGCUAAAUAUUGGCGAGAGACCGAUAGCGAACAAGUACCGUGAGGGAAAGAUGAAAAGAACUUUGGAAAGAGAGUUAAACAGUACGUGAAAUUGCUGAAAGGGAAACGCUUGAAGUCAGUCGCGUUGGCCGGGAAUCAGCCUUGCUUUUGCUGGGUGUACUUUCUGGUUAACGGGUCAGCAUCAAUUUUGACCGUUGGAUAAAGUGCAGGGGAAUGUGGCAUCUUCGGAUGUGUUAUAGCCUCUGUUCGCAUACAACGGUUGGGAUUGAGGAACUCAGUACGCCGCAAGGCCGGGAAUUUAUUCCACGUUCGUACUUAGGAUGCUGGCAUAAUGGCUUUAAUCGACCCGUCUUGAAACACGGACCAAGGAGUCUAACAUGCCUGCGAGUGUUUGGGUGGAAAACCCGAGCGCGUAAUGAAAGUGAAAGUUGAGAUCCCUGUCGCGGGGAGCAUCGACGCCCGGACCAGACCUUUUGUGACGGAUCUGCGGUAGAGCAUGUAUGUUGGGACCCGAAAGAUGGUGAACUAUGCCUGAAUAGGGUGAAGCCAGAGGAAACUCUGGUGGAGGCUCGUAGCGAUUCUGACGUGCAAAUCGAUCGUCAAAUUUGGGUAUAGGGGCGAAAGACUAAUCGAACCAUCUAGUAGCUGGUUCCUGCCGAAGUUUCCCUCAGGAUAGCAGAAACUCAUUUCAGAUUUAUGUGGUAAAGCGAAUGAUUAGAGGCCUUGGGGUUGAAACAACCUUAACCUAUUCUCAAACUUUAAAUAUGUAAGAACGAGCCGUCUCUUGAUUGGACCGCUCGGCGAUUGAGAGUUUCUAGUGGGCCAUUUUUGGUAAGCAGAACUGGCGAUGCGGGAUGAACCGAACG
RNAcentral lists this ribosomal RNA (1116 nucleotides) under Deconica merdaria. RNAcentral's name for it is "partial large ribosomal RNA subunit". It matches the Rfam family "Eukaryotic large subunit ribosomal RNA", at positions 70 to 1174 of the family's 3401-position model. The record is from RNAcentral. Lineage: Eukaryota; Fungi; Basidiomycota; Agaricomycetes; Agaricales; Kuehneromycetaceae.